Molecule: ribosomal RNA, 253 nt
Filed under: uncultured bacterium
Lineage: Bacteria
Description: partial 16S ribosomal RNA
Rfam family: Bacterial small subunit ribosomal RNA
Source: RNAcentral
UACAGAGGGGGCCAGCGUUAUUCGGAAUUAUUGGGCGUAAAGGGCGCGUAGGCGGCUUUGCGUGUCUUUCGUGAAAUCCCUCGGCUCAACUGAGGACGUGCGGAAGAAACUGCAGGGCUGGAGUCCGGGAGAGGAGGGUGGAAUUCCAGGUGUAGCGGUGAAAUGCGUAGAUAUCUGGAGGAACACCGGUGGCGAAGGCGGCAUCCUGGACCGGCAUUGACGCUGAGGCGCGAAAGCCAGGGGAGCAAACGGG